This 670-nucleotide ribosomal RNA is filed under the name Cytobacillus firmus. RNAcentral describes it as "bacterial SSU rRNA". It matches the Rfam family "Bacterial small subunit ribosomal RNA", at positions 108 to 763 of the family's 1533-position model. The record is from RNAcentral. Lineage: Bacteria; Bacillati; Bacillota; Bacilli; Caryophanales; Bacillaceae.
GAGUAACACGUGGGCAACCUGCCUGUAAGACUGGGAUAACUCCGGGAAACCGGGGCUAAUACCGGAUAAUUCUUUCCCUCACAUGAGGGAAAGCUGAAAGAUGGCAUCUCGCUAUCACUUACAGAUGGGCCCGCGGCGCAUUAACUAGUUGGUGAGGUAACGGCUCACCAAGGCCACGAUGCGUAGCCAACCUGAAAGGGUGAUCGGCCACACUGGGACUGAAACACGGCCCAAACUCCUACGGGAGGCAGCAGUAGGGAAUCUUCCGCAAUGGACGAAAGUCUGACGGAACAACGCCCCGUGAGUGAUGAAGGUUUUCGGAUCGUAAAACUCUGUUGUCAGGGAAAAACAAGUACCGGAGUAACUGCCGGUACCUUGACGGUACCUGACCAGAAAGCCACGGCUAACUACGUGCCAGCAGCCGCGGUAAUACGUAGGUGGCAAGCGUUGUCCGGAAUUAUUGGGCGUAAAGCGCGCGCAGGCGGUUCCUUAAGUCUGAUGUGAAAGCCCCCGGCUCAACCGGGGAGGGUCAUUGGAAACUGGGGAACUUGAGUGCAGAAGAGAAGAGUGGAAUUCCACGUGUAGCGGUGAAAUGCGUAGAGAUGUGGAGGAACACCAGUGGCGAAGGCGACUCUUUGGUCUGUAACUGACGCUGAGGCGCGAAAGCGUG